AUCUGAAUCACUUGGUGAUCUUGUUAUAUAGAUUCUGACUCAGUCAGUCUCAGGGGCCUGAGAUUCUGCAUUUCUAACAUGCACCAGGUGAUGCUGCU
Molecule: microRNA precursor, 98 nt
Filed under: Marmota monax (woodchuck)
Lineage: Eukaryota; Metazoa; Chordata; Mammalia; Rodentia; Sciuridae
Source: RNAcentral